UAGGGAAUUUUGCGCAAUGGGCGAAAGCCUGACGCAGCAACACCGCGUGAACGACGAAGCUUUUUGGAGUGUAAAGUUCUGUCAGUGGGGACGAAGAAUGACUGUACCCACAGAGGAAGCAUCGGCUAACUACGUGCCAGCAGCCGCGGUAAGACGUAGGAUGCGAGCGUUGUCCGGAAUUAUUGGGCGUAAAGAGUUCGUAGGCGGCCUAUCAAGUCUGGUGUUAAAGGCGGUAGCUUAACUACCGUAGGGCAUUGGAUACUGAUAAGCUAGAGUACAGAAGAGGCAAGGGGAAUUCCCAGUGUAGCGGUGAAAUGCGUAGAUAUUGGGAGGAACACCAGUGGCGUAAGCGCCUUGCUGGGCUGUUACUGACGCUGAGGAACGAAAGCCGGGGGAGCAAAUGGG
RNAcentral lists this ribosomal RNA (405 nucleotides) under uncultured bacterium. RNAcentral's name for it is "bacterial SSU rRNA". It matches the Rfam family "Bacterial small subunit ribosomal RNA", at positions 355 to 776 of the family's 1533-position model. The record is from RNAcentral.